UCCUGGGACUCAAAGAAAGUGCAGCUGAAUUAGACGGUUUUUAGCUGGGGACUGGCUAGAUCAGUGGAAAUCACAACCAAGUUCUCCCAUUGCCUUUCUAUCCAACAGCACUGUGGAUCACCUGCAGACAAGCUUAACUAUGAACUCCUAGAGAGUGAGAUCAUGCAUGACAACUGGCAAAAGUAGGAAGCUGGUUGGGACUGAAUCUGGGCAGAACGGCUGUCGCACUUGCUUUGAAGUUACGAGCACAGCAGCACCAGAACAAUCAGCAGGCAUCUCCGAAAGUUUCCAGGGCAGGACUCUGUCGUAAAGAGGAAGCCGUCAGGUUCUUGGAUAAUUGCUGAAUGGAACUAAGGGAAAUGAGAGGAGAGAAGCAUCUCAGAGCAUGUUUGGACUUGCUGCAUGCCUUGGACCCUGCUACACACUGAUAACAAGCCGGAGUGCAAUGACUCAGUCUCAGCUCACUGCAACAUCUGCCUCCCAGGUUCAAGUGAUUCUCCUGCCUCAGCCUCCUGAGUAGCUGGGAUUACAGAGGCCUGCCACCACUCCUGGCUAAUUUUUGUAUUUUUAGCAGAGAUGGUGUUUCACCAUGUUGGCCAGGCUGGUCUCGAACUCCUGACCUCGUGAUCCACCCACCUCAGCCUCCCAAAGUGCUGAGAUUACAUGCGUGAGCCACCACACCCAGCCCUAAAGCCUUGUUAAUAAACUUCCACUCCUGCUCUGAAACUUGCCUUGGUCUCUUUUUCUGCUUUAUGCCCCUCAGUCAAAUUCUUUCUUCUGAGGAGGCAAGAAUUGAGGUUGUUGCAGACCCAUAU
This is a long non-coding RNA of Pongo pygmaeus (Bornean orangutan), 815 nucleotides long. RefSeq lists it as uncharacterized. Lineage: Eukaryota; Metazoa; Chordata; Mammalia; Primates; Hominidae. The record is from RefSeq and is a predicted model, not a curated record. The transcript is spliced from 5 exons.